AACGAACGCUGGCGGCGUGGAUAAGACAUGCAAGUCGAGCGGGAACUUUCGCUGUAGCAAUACAGUGAAAGUUCUAGCGGCGAACGGGUGCGUAACACGUGGACAAUCUGCCUUAAAGUGGGGGAUAGCUCGGCGAAAGCCGAAUUAAUACCGCAUGUGAUGAGAGACGACAUCGUCUUGAAAUCAAAGCCGGGGCAACCUGGCGCUUUUUGAGGAGUCCGCGGCCAUCAGCUUGUUGGUGAGGUAACGGCUCACCAAGGCUAUGACGGGUAGCUGGUCUGAGAGGACGACCAGUCACACUGGAACU
Molecule: ribosomal RNA, 307 nt
Filed under: uncultured bacterium
Lineage: Bacteria
Description: bacterial SSU rRNA
Rfam family: Bacterial small subunit ribosomal RNA
Source: RNAcentral